This 253-nucleotide ribosomal RNA is filed under the name uncultured bacterium. Its description in RNAcentral is "partial 16S ribosomal RNA". It matches the Rfam family "Bacterial small subunit ribosomal RNA", at positions 524 to 776 of the family's 1533-position model. The record is from RNAcentral.
CACGUAGGAGGCGAGCGUUGGCUGGAAUCAUUGGGCGUAAAGAGCGCGCAGGCGGCUUGGCAAGUCGGGUGUGAAAUCCCGGGGCUCAACCCCGGGACUGCAUUCGAUACUGUCAGGCUAGAGGUAGGUAGGGGAGAUCGGAAUUCCUGGUGUAGCGGUGAAAUGCGCAGAUAUCAGGAGGAACACCGGUGGCGAAGGCGGAUCUCUGGGCCUUACCUGACGCUCAGGCGCGAAAGCUAGGGGAGCGAACAGG